Molecule: ribosomal RNA, 445 nt
Filed under: uncultured bacterium
Lineage: Bacteria
Description: partial 16S ribosomal RNA
Rfam family: Bacterial small subunit ribosomal RNA
Source: RNAcentral
GUGAGGAAUAUUGCGCAAUGGAGGCAACUCUGACGCAGCCAUGCCGCGUGCAGGAAGAAGGCGCUACGCGUUGUAAACUGCUUUUAACCGGGAAGAAACCCCAGGACGUGUCCUGGGUUGACGGUACCGGAGGAAUAAGCACCGGCUAACUUCGUGCCAGCAGCCGCGGUAAUACGAAGGGUGCAAGCGAUAUCCGGAGUCCUUGGGUUUAAAGGGUGCGUAGGCGGAGCGUUAAGUCAGUGGUGAAGUCCUGCAGCUUAACUGUAGACUUGCCAUUGAUACUGGCGCUCUUGAGUGCGCUUGAAGUGGGCGGAAUGUGCCGUGUAGCGGUGAAAUGCUUAGAUAUGGCACAGAACACCAAUUGCGAAGGCAGCUUGCUGAACCAUUAUUGACGCUGAGGCACGAAAGCGUGGGGAGCGAACAGGAUUAGAAACCCUUGUAGUCC